GAUGAACGCUGGCGGCGUGCCUAAUACAUGCAAGUCGAGCGAGUGGAUUAAGAGCUUGCUCUUAUGAGGUUAGCGGCGGACGGGUGAGUAACACGUGGGUAACCUGCCCAUAAGACUAGGAUAACUACGGGAAACCGGGGCUAAUACCGGAUAACAUUUUGAACCGCAUGGGUAGAAAGUGAAAGGAGGCUUAGGCUGUCGUUUAUGGAUGGACGCGCGUCGCAUUAGCUAGUUGGUGAGGUAACGGCUCACCAAGGCACCGAUGCGUAGCCGACCUGAGAGGGUGAUCGGCCACACUGGGACUGAGACACGGCCCAGACUCCUACGGGAGGCAGCAGUAGGGAAUCUUCCGCAAUGGACGAAAGUCUGACGGAGCAACGCGGCGUGAGUGAUGAAGGCUUUCGGGUCGUAAAACUCUGUUGUUAGGGAAGAACAAGUGCUAGUUGAAUAAGCUGGCACCUUGACGGUACCUAACCAGAAAGCCACGGCUAACUACGUGCCAGCAGCCGCAGUAA
Molecule: ribosomal RNA, 515 nt
Filed under: uncultured bacterium
Lineage: Bacteria
Description: partial 16S ribosomal RNA
Rfam family: Bacterial small subunit ribosomal RNA
Source: RNAcentral